UUAUACGAGAGGCCCAAGUUGAUGAAAAACGGCGUAAAGCGUGGUUAAGAAAACAAGAAAAAUAGGGCCGAACAGCCUCAAAGCAGUUAUACGCAUUCGAGGCCACGAAGCUCAAUCACGAAAGUGGCCCUACAAAUCUCUGAUUCCACGAAAGCCAUAAAACAAACUGGGAUUAGAUACCCCACUAUGUAUGGUUGUUAACAUUGAUGGUUUUAUACUUAAACCAUCCGCCUGGGU
Molecule: ribosomal RNA, 237 nt
Filed under: Lota lota (burbot)
Lineage: Eukaryota; Metazoa; Chordata; Actinopteri; Gadiformes; Lotidae
Description: partial 12S ribosomal RNA
Source: RNAcentral